AGUGUAAUUCAUUUUAGAAUAAGGCUGUAAAGUGGAAAAACUCAAGGGGGCAGACAUGUCAAUAGGUACCAGUCAUGGUGAGUAGAGACAUCAUGCCAAUAGGUACCAGUCAUGGUGAGUAGAGACAUGUCAAUAGGUACCAGUCAUGGUGAGUAGAGACCACAUGUCAAUAGGUACCAGUCAUGGUGAGUAGAGACAUCAUGCCAAUAGGUACCAGUCAUGGUGAGUAGAGACAUCAUGUCAAUAGGUACCAGUCAUGGUGAGUAGAGACAUCAUGUCAAUAGGUACCAGUCAUGGUGAGUAGAGACAUCAUGCCAAUAGGUACCAGUCAUGGUGAGUAGAGACAUCAUGCCAAUAGGUACCAGUCAUGGUGAGUAGAGACAUCAUGCCAAUAGGUACCAGUCAUGGUGAGUAGAGACAUGUCAAUAGGUACCAGUCAUGGUGAGUAGAGACCUCAUGUCAAUAGGUACCAGUCAUGGUGAAUAGAGACAUCAUGUCAAUAGGUACCAGUCAUGGUGAGUAGGGAGAGACAUCAUGUCAAUAGGUACCAGUCAUGGUGAGUAGAGACAUCAUGCCAAUAGGUACCAGUCAGGGUGAGUAGAGACAUGUCAAUAGGUACCAGUCAUGGUGAAUAGAGACAUGUCAAUAGGUACCAGUCAUGGUGAGUAGAGACCUCAUGCCAAUAGGUACCAGUCAUGGUGAGUAGAGACCUCAUGUCAAUAGGUACCAGUCAUGGUGAGUAGAGACCUCAUGUCAAUAGGUACCAGUCAUGGUGAGUAGAGACCUCAUGUCAAUAGGUACCAGUCAUGGUGAGUAGAGACCUCAUGUCAAUAGGUACCAGUCAUGGUGAGUAGAGACCUCAUGUCAAUAGGUACCAGUCAUGGUGAGUAGAGACCUCAUAUCAAUAGGUACCAGUCAUGGUCAGUAGAGACCUCAUGUCAAUAGGUACCA
Oncorhynchus tshawytscha (Chinook salmon) is the source of this 951-nucleotide long non-coding RNA. The record is from Ensembl. Lineage: Eukaryota; Metazoa; Chordata; Actinopteri; Salmoniformes; Salmonidae.